GACGAAGGUGGCGAGCGUUGUUCGGAAUCACUGGGCAUAAAGCGCACGUAGGCGGCGGCGUAAGUUGGAUGUGAAAUCCCCCGGCCCAACCGGGGAACUGCGUCCAGUACUGCGUUGCUUGAGGAUCCAAGGGGUGCAUGGAAUUCCCGGUGGAGCGGUGAAAUGCGUAGAGAUCGGAAAGAACACCAACGGCGAAAGCACUCUGCUGGGCCGACACUGACACUGAGAGACGAAAGCUAGGGGAGCGAAUGGG
This 253-nucleotide ribosomal RNA is filed under the name uncultured bacterium. Its description in RNAcentral is "partial 16S ribosomal RNA". It matches the Rfam family "Bacterial small subunit ribosomal RNA", at positions 524 to 776 of the family's 1533-position model. The record is from RNAcentral.